Molecule: small RNA, 20 nt
Filed under: Brassica napus (rape)
Lineage: Eukaryota; Viridiplantae; Streptophyta; Magnoliopsida; Brassicales; Brassicaceae
Description: PsRNA_44
Source: RNAcentral
AACUGAGGAUGGAAAGAAAU